UGGGGAAUAUUGGACAAUGGGCGCAAGCCUGAUCCAGCCAUGCCGCGUGAGUGAUGAAGGCCUUAGGGUUGUAAUGCUCUUUUGGCGGGGACGAUAAUGACGGUACCCGCAGAAUAAGCCCCGGCUAACUUCGUGCCAGCAGCCGCGGUAAUACGAAGGGGGCUAGCGUUGUUCGGAAUUACUGGGCGUAAAGCGCACGUAGGCGGAUCGGCAAGUCAGGGGUGAAAUCCCGGGGCUCAACCUCGGAACUGCCUCUGAUACGGUCAGUCUAGAGUCCGGAAUAGGUGGGUGGAAUUCCUAGUGUAGAGGUGAAAUUCGCAGAUAUUAGGAAGAACACCGGUGGCGAAGGCGGCCCACUGGUCCGGUACUGACGCUGAGGUGCGAAAGCGUGGGGAGCAAACAGGAUUAGAUACCCAGGUAGUCCCUGAGCGGGCUGGCAAGGCGCAU
Molecule: ribosomal RNA, 447 nt
Filed under: uncultured bacterium
Lineage: Bacteria
Description: bacterial SSU rRNA
Rfam family: Bacterial small subunit ribosomal RNA
Source: RNAcentral